Molecule: long non-coding RNA, 4013 nt
Filed under: Homo sapiens (human)
Lineage: Eukaryota; Metazoa; Chordata; Mammalia; Primates; Hominidae
Description: HSALNT0303646
Source: RNAcentral
UGCCUAGAGUAUGAAAAGAAAUGAAAUUGGAGGAUUCUCACAUCACACUAUGAAAUCUUUGUCACUUGUUUCAGUUUAGAGAUAUGCAAAGUCACUGAAAAGAAGCAAGUUGGAUCCCAGGUCUGGAGUAUGGCUUUAACCUGUCUAAAAAGAAUGUGUCUAUUUACAAGGGUCUUGGGCAGCCUGGAAGCCCAGGAAAAAGGUAAUCCCAGAGGUCAACCAUUCCAGCCGUUGAGCAAUUGCAAUUGAUCACACAUACACUCAUGGAGUUCCAGUGGGACCCCGAUGAGAAGGGCAUUGUGGUAAACUUGAGCUUCAUAAUGCUGCAGCUGCAGCAAUUUGGGGAACACUGAGAUCUCUCCAUGGCUCUUCCGAGCCUCUCAAAAACAUUUAACACAAUCAUCAGGAUUAGGGACCUGACAGCCAAGAGGUAAGUUUGGCAGCCCUGAGGCAUUUGCUUUUAACAAGCUCCCAUGAUGAUGUCAACUCCCCAAUUUAUAUCUCUAGCCCUCUUGCUUGAACUUCAGACUAUUGACAACUGUUUACAGAACAUCUGCUCUUGAGUGUUGAAGUGACAUCUCAAAUUCAAGAUGACCAAAACUUAACUCCUUCCUCUGCCCUGAAACCUGUUCUAUCUGCAGUCAUCUCCAUUCAGUUCAUGUUUAUGAUACAGCUAAAAUUGCUCAUCAGCAUCUAAUGAAGCAACGAAGCAACUUUGUCAAUCAGACAUUGUUGUUUUACUUUCUUUUUCUUCCAUAAACUUACUCUAUGGUAGUUCUUUUGUUAGUAUGGACUUUGAACUCUUCCUGGGCAUCUCCAGACCUGGUCUCUCAUCAAAAGGCUGAUCUCAUCUAAUUAGGGCCUGAGGACUGCAAGGGAGGGAAGAUCAAGGGGAAUCCUAGAAACCUGGAUUCCGUUCAGGCAGGAAAGCAGAUUGAUGAUCAAUGGCCUGGGUCCAUGCCACUUACUGCUUGUGAGACUAGGAAAGUUAUUUACUUUCCAGACGAUUCAUAGAUCAACCUAGGGGAGGGGGUGUUGAUUAAAUGAGAAUAUGUAUAGUCACUGAUGCAUAGUAAAAGCUCAGUUAACUACUGGUAGUAAUGCUUUAUCUUAGGAUAUUCUGAGCUAGAAAUAAAGUAAAAAAUGAAAUUGAUUUGGGAGCCUAAAGAAAUUAUCCUGAAAUGCAUAAAGAGAAACAUGUAAAAUACUCAUUGAAAAGCUGAAAUGGAAAAUGGUCAUUUUCCCAUAGAUAUUGGUGGUUCACUUCAUAAAUCUUUCUGAAUUAAUCCUUUAAUUCAGUAUGUAUUUAUUGAGCAUUUACUAUAUGUUAGGCUGUUAGGCACUGCUCUAAAUGCUGAAGAAAAAUCCGUGAGCAAAACAGGUGAAAAUCCCUACAUUUCUGAAGCUAACCUUCUAUUGGGGGUCAUAUAUUGAACAAAAUAAAUAAUACUACGGGUUGGAGGAAAGGAGAUGAUUCAUUUGGAGUUUUUAAGUAGAGUGAUCUGGGACCUAACGUCAUCUUCUGAGCUGGGGGAAGAUACAAAAAAAUCUUAAAAUAUAGUCCCAGCCCUCCAGAAAUGCACAUUUUGGUUAAGGAAAUAAGACAGGAUUCACAUGCCAAUUUUGGUGAUAGAACAAACAAGGCAUUAUUAUGUACAUGGAGACAAGCAAUGUUCUAAAAGGUCAGAGAAGCUGGGGAGCAGGAAGGGAUGCAGCCCAAGGACUUGUUGGCAUGAGUGGUCUGGAAAAGUCUCCUGAAGGGAGUGGAACUUAGCCGCGAAAUAGUGAAGCAAGUUUUCUUCCAUCCUUCCUCCCCUCCCGUUAGCUGCUGGGAAGCAGCUUGUGUUGCAAUGGGCCAAAAUGAAACACUAAUCUUGGCCUUUUCCAGGAAGAGGCUGUCAUGGGGAGAUACCGUAACGGGCAUAGAAAAACAAUCACAAUAGCUUCAGUGGAUCCCCACGUGACCUGGCCAAAUUGGCUGGAGAGGGAACAAGUCUUUCAGGUCAAGCUCAGGCUUUGAACUCAGUAGGAACCAACCCCUGCAGAUUCAGUAACACCUUCUACUUCCAAAUCUUUAUAGCAUGAAAAUCCAAGGGGGCCACAGAUUGCUCUGAGUUAACCACCAGGAGCUGCCAAUAGGAGGGUCCUCCUGCAUCUCUUUCUUAAGGCUUUGGGUUUGUACCUGUACUCUAGAGAUGUGGCCAAGCCCCACUUGUGGUCUGUGUUAGAGGAGCCCCAAAGAACACAGACACGAACCUUGGGGGUGGUAGCCAGGUGUAAAGUAGGGCUUGAGAAGAGUGAGUUCCUAGUACCCAUUUUAGAUUAGACUGCACAGGGGAGAAGACAGGCAGGAUGUGUGAAUCAGGAAAUAGAUUGGUUCUUUGGGCCUAAAUGAGUGUCAAAUCUCCAAAGAGUCAAGUACAUUAAAUUCAUCCCAGCUUGGUGAGCAAUUCCACUCUUAGGAAUUUAAUUGAGAAUAAGAACAAAGAUUUACAAGCUUGUCAUCACAGUAAUUGCCUGGAAAUAGUGAAAAAAUUGCAAAAGAUCUAAGUAUUCAAAAAUAAGGAAUUGGUUGAGUUAACAAUUUCUCUUGAAGACUUCUGCUUCUGGCCAAAGUGGAGUAAUAGGUUCAGAUUUGCCCUCUUGCCUGAAACAAUAACAACAACAACAACAAACACAAUAAAGAUAUAUGAAGGAAUGGUUUUCAAGACAUGGACAUCAGGUGACAAAUGACAGUGAUUCCUGGGAGUUGAGGAGAGUUUUACAAUUGCUCCAGCUUACAGCCCUGAAGAAGUUCCUAGGGCACAGUUCAGGAAGGUGGAACCCAGAUGGAGCCUGGAAAAUGCUCUGAGUUGAGGAAACAGAGAUAAGAGUAUGGGGAGACCAAAGCAACUAGAGUUUGCAGGAUAGAUGAUGGAGAGGAGAGAGGUGCACAGAGAGAGCCCAGGAGAUCCUCAGGGGUCUCCUCAAGAUCGGUUCAACUAAGUACCAAUCAGCACAUGUGUGUGAGGAAACCAUCUGCGAGGAUUAGAAGCAGCGCUGCUCAGUGCUCACUCAGGGCUGAGAACAGUGCCAGUUCCCACCUGCCAGAUUGGAAAGUCCCAUGAUUCCUGGGGCACUCAGUAGUUUGUACAGAAGGUCCUUGCCUCAGAAGUGGGCAAUAAAUAACCCUAGACUGAGCACUUCUCAGCACCCUUGAAAAAAAAAAUCAUAAAAUCAAAACCUGAGGAUCCAACUGUUUCCAAGUAGUUUAACUUAUCCCAGAGCAAAGUUCAAAAAUAUAUAUAGGAAUCCAAAAAUAUUUAACACCCAGCAAAGUACAUUUACAAUGUCUAGUAUCUAAGCAAAAAUUACCAGGUAUGAGAAGAAGUAGAAAAAUAUGACCCAUAUUAAAAAGGAGCCUAGGCUUUUCCCCUCACUCAGCUGUGAUGAGGCACCCCAACCCUUCCUUGCUGGGGUGAUGUGCCCUGUAAUGACCUUCUCCUCAGUGAUUAUGUCAGUGAAGGCCAUGUGGGGACCUGGAACUCUCACCCUCACCAGCUGUAAUGAGACACUCUACCCCAGUGGAGUGUCCACAGAGGCCAAGUGAGGACUGUGGACUUACACAACCACCUGGCAAUUAUGAAGCAGCAGUCCCCUUUCCUGACUGGCACAGUGUCAGACAGGGCCUGCUAAAACAGAAAAUUUAAAUAAGAUAUAAUGUCUUAUAUAAUUCCCCCAAAGCCCAGGAAUUAAUAGAAAAUCACUCAUCAUGUCAAGAACCAGGAAAAUCUCAACUUGAAUGAGAAAAGACAACAAAUGCCAAUGUUGAGAUGACACAGAUGUUGACAAAAAUUUUAAAGAAACCAUUAUAAAAAUGCUUCAAUGAGUAGUUAUAAACAUGCUUAAAACAAAUUUAAAAAUAGAAUGUCUCAGCAGGAAAACACAAGACAUAAAGAGGAGCCAAAUAGGCUGGGUGCGGUGGUUCACCCCAUUAAUACCAGCACUUUGGGGUGCUGAGGUAAGAGGAUCGC